CACCACACCCGACGACGACGACGACGAAACGCUUGUGCGCGCCAUCCAGCGAAGAAAUAUGAAAACAUUACCAUUCGAGGCCUUACACGGUAUCUUCUUUAUUGAGGCCAUUGUCACACAAGAUAAUGCGGCAGCAGCAGUGACCGAGAGCUCCACAUUCGAAUUUCCAUUGUCCUUAUAUGGACAGCACGCUCUAUACGAUGGUAAGCUCGCGUGCGCGUAUAGAGCUCCUAUCAAACAUUGCCUUUUAUGGACUCGCAUCACUCGAUUUCAUUGAAAUACUAAGUGAGCAACAAAUGUUUCGUAAUUUCGAUCCUCCCUCUGUCACGCUCGCCAAAUUUAAUGAAAAUAAUUUCAUUAUACGCAUGCACCAUAUGCAUUCUUCCCCUCCUCUCUGCUGCGCGCAUACAUGUAUAUAUUUACGAAAGAAAGAAAAUGUAAACGUGGCAUAAAAAACCGGUUGAAAUAAAUUUCCACGCUCGCUCAAGAGUAUAA
Molecule: long non-coding RNA, 495 nt
Organism: Venturia canescens
Lineage: Eukaryota; Metazoa; Arthropoda; Insecta; Hymenoptera; Ichneumonidae
Exons: 2
Source: RefSeq, a predicted model, not a curated record